AUGACUUGGUGUCCCUGCUAAUUUUCAACACAAUUCAUCCUUAAAAAGGUUUUGAGACUUAAUCCAUGCAAAAUAUUUAAUACAGAAAAGAUGCAGUUUGAUUGCCAAUGAGAGUCCAUAUGACACAGAAAUUAACAGCUAUAGUUCUUCGUAUGGCAUUCGAUGAGAUUAUCCCAUACCGCAAAGUCAGCUAUCAAGGGCCCAA
RNAcentral lists this long non-coding RNA (205 nucleotides) under Mytilus galloprovincialis (Mediterranean mussel). The record is from RNAcentral. Lineage: Eukaryota; Metazoa; Mollusca; Bivalvia; Mytilida; Mytilidae.